Molecule: ribosomal RNA, 460 nt
Filed under: uncultured bacterium
Lineage: Bacteria
Description: partial 16S ribosomal RNA
Rfam family: Bacterial small subunit ribosomal RNA
Source: RNAcentral
CCUACGGGAGACAGCAGUGAGGAAUAUUGGUCAAUGGACGCAAGUCUGAACCAGCCAUGCCGCGUGCAGGAUGACGGCCCUAUGAGUUGUAAACUGCUUUUGUACGAGGGUAAACGCAGAUACGCGUAUCUGUCUGAAUGUAUCGUACGAAUAAGGAUCGGCUAACUCCGUGCCAGCAGCCGCGGUAAUACGGAGGAUUCAAGCGUUAUCCGGAUUUAUUGGGUUUAAAGGGUGCGUAGGCGGUCGGAUAAGUUAGAGGUGAAAUCCCGAGGCUCAACUUCGGAAUUGCCUCUGAUACUGGCCGGCUAGAGAGUAGGUGCGGUAGGCGGAAUGUAUGGUGUAGCGGUGAAAUGCUUAGAGAUCAUACAGAACACCGAUUGCGAAGGCAGCUUACCAAGCUACUUCUGACGUUGAGGCACGAAAGCGUGGGGAGCAAACAGGAUUAGAUACCCGGGUAGUC